CACGUAGGGGGCGAGCGUUGUCCGGAUUUAUUGGGCGUAAAGAGCUCGUAGGCGGCUCAGUAAGUCGGGUGUGAAAUUUCAGGGCUCAACCCUGAAACGCCACCCGAUACUGCUGUGGCUAGAGUCCGGUAGGGGAGCGUGGAAUUCCUGGUGUAGCGGUGAAAUGCGUAGAUAUCAUUUGGAACGCCAAUGGUGAAAACAGGUAGCUGGGGUUGUGCUGACGCUGAGACACGAAAGCCAGGGGAGCGAACGGG
RNAcentral lists this ribosomal RNA (254 nucleotides) under uncultured bacterium. Its description in RNAcentral is "partial 16S ribosomal RNA". It matches the Rfam family "Bacterial small subunit ribosomal RNA", at positions 524 to 776 of the family's 1533-position model. The record is from RNAcentral.